AAACCGUUGAAAGGGAAGCGAAUGGAGUUAGCAAUUCGUUUGUCAGAUUCAGUUGCAUGCACGCAACGACGUGCGCGCCCUUGAUCCGCAUGGACAAGGCGUGUCCGGAUGUGACGUGCAAGCAGCGCACUUCUGGCAGGCGAGCGUCAGCGUCGGUUGUUGUGGAGCGAAAAAGUUGCGGGGAAGGUAGGCGAAUUCUCGUUGUUAAGCCCUGCAUUCGCAUAUCUCUACGACGACCGUGGCACUGCGACGCGUGCUUUGCUGGCAACCCAAUUUCUCGGUCCGACAUGUCAACCGUGGUGGACGGCACGCCUGUGCACUCGAACCGCUGUCGGUCGUGUAUUGGUGUUUGCACAAUAC
RNAcentral lists this ribosomal RNA (360 nucleotides) under Sarcothelia sp. 1 MB-2023a. RNAcentral describes it as "partial large subunit ribosomal RNA". Lineage: Eukaryota; Metazoa; Cnidaria; Anthozoa; Malacalcyonacea; Xeniidae. The record is from RNAcentral.